CUUAUCUCAGGACGUUAUUGCAGCAGGUAUUGCUUCUACUUCAACUGUGUUCUUGAUGACUUGUUUCUGAAAAUCACUUGUUCUGCAGGACUGUAAGCUGCCAGAAGAUUCAGUAUAUGGUCUUGCCUAUGAUCUUGUCAUAGCCUUGCUGUAAGAUCAUUCUCUUACCAGUUUGACACUACCUCUAGGAAAUUUUCAGCUUCUUACAUUCGAAACAAAUUACAUAUUGUGAUCUGAAACCAUCAAACAUCUUACUUGAUGAAAAUGGACAUAUUAAGCUGUGUGAUUUUGGGUUGAUAUUAGUAAAUCUCCAUCCAUUCCACGGGAAAACGUGGAACUCCGUAUUAUAUGGCUCCAGAACUAUAUGAAGAUGGAGGGGUCCAUUCUUUUGCUUCUGAGUUCUGACCUAUGGGGCCACUUGGCUGUGUUUUUUAUAUGAGUGUUACACAGGGAGACCUCCUUUUGUGGCAAGAGAGAGUUCACCCAGCUUGUGAAAUCUAUUCAUUCAGAUCCAACUCCUCCACUCCCUGGAAAUGCCAGCCGUCCAUUUCUCAAUCUCAUUGAGUCUCUUCUUAUCAAAGACCCAGCGCAAAGAAUACAAUGGGCAGAUCAUGCAUUUUGGAAGAGUAAAAUAUAAUCAUGUAUAUUGGCAUAUACACAAAGCCAUGUCUUUCCGAGCAUAAUGGUUCCAAAGUCUAGGGAGAAAGUUCCAAAAGGUAGUUCAAAGCACAAGGAGAACUCCACUCAUGGUUCAAGGGGCCAUGAGGCGCCACAAAAGGGUACUCCUGUUGGUUCAAAAGCUCAAACAAAGUUUCCUAGCAAGACAACUGGGUAAAAGCAUGGAGGUCGUCCGGGUUCUAACCGCCAGGUGAAUAUCCUAAGAUUGUCAAGGAUAGCAAAGGCAAAUCUCCAAAAGGAAAAUGAGAAGGAAAACUACAGGAGACCCUUACCUAAUAGCAACGAGAACUGUGCUGAAGUGAAAAUUGAUAACACUGAUAUGGAACUUGAUUUUGAUGAAGACAAUGAUGAGGAUGGUCCAGAUGAACCAGAAGGAAAUGAGAACACCUCUUGUGCACAAGAUGAAAGAGUUUUGAGUCAAAAUGAGAGUCACAGAAGGCAAGGAGUUAGGAGCAAUAAUGUGCCUGAUGAGAACUCGUCUGCAAAUGAAACACCAACCUCGGAUGAACCCAGAGAUUUCAAUGAAGAGCAGUCAGAACCUUUUGAAGUUUCAGCUGCGCUACCUAGUGCUAGCCCUCAAGUUAAAACUCAUAGAGAAAGAGAAGUUUCUGGGAUUACUGUUCACCACGACUCGUCUAAAACACCUAACAGCCUCAGUGCCGUCCUUUGACAUUUAUCUGAUCCUUCUGUUAGACCCGUCAUGCCCAGCAGAAAAUCUGACAAAGAAGCUCUGCCUUCUCUCUCAUUCGAAGCACCACAGCCUUCUGAUUUUAGUAAGAUGGGAAAGCAAGAACUUGAACCGCUUAACAAUAGAAUCAUAACGGUUCUAAGUGGGAGUAGUGCUGGCAUCUAAGAGACACAGAACCUGAUCAGAUACCUCGCAGACACUGAGUAGCAAUGCUGAUGCAGCCAACAUAUUGACCAACGGGCCAAUAAUGCUUGUGCUAGUAAAAGUUCUCCGGUUAUCCAAGACCCCAGCGUUUCGUGUACAAAUUGCUUCACUAAUUGGUUUGUUAAUCCGGCAUUCUACUGCUAUUGAAGAUGAGUUGGCAAGUUCUGGUAUUUUAGACUCUCUUGCCAAUGGCCUCAGAGACAAACAUGAUCAAGUGGGAGCAGUUGUGGGGAGCUCUGGAAAUUUUGGGCUGGAGAAAAACUGUGAAGAUGUUAUUGACAAGGGUGUAAACAAUAACAGGAGAGGAUUCAAUGGUAUUGGA
Molecule: long non-coding RNA, 1892 nt
Organism: Brassica oleracea var. oleracea
Lineage: Eukaryota; Viridiplantae; Streptophyta; Magnoliopsida; Brassicales; Brassicaceae
Exons: 3
Source: RefSeq, a predicted model, not a curated record